This 465-nucleotide ribosomal RNA is filed under the name uncultured bacterium. RNAcentral's name for it is "partial 16S ribosomal RNA". It matches the Rfam family "Bacterial small subunit ribosomal RNA", at positions 338 to 795 of the family's 1533-position model. The record is from RNAcentral.
CCUACGGGAGGCAGCAGUGGGGAAUAUUGCGCAAUGGGCGAAAGCCUGACGCAGCGACGCCGCGUGAGGGAUGAAGGUCUUCGGAUCGUAAACCUCUGUCAGCAGGGAAGAACGGUCACUGUGCUAAUCAGCAGUGAAUUGACGGUACCUGCAAAGGAAGCACCGGCUAACUCCGUGCCAGCAGCCGCGGUAAUACGGAGGGUGCGAGCGUUAAUCGGAGUUACUGGGCGUAAAGCGCGCGUAGGCGGUAUGUCAAGUCAAGGGUGAAAUCCCCGGGCUCAACCAGGGAAGUUCCUUUGAAACUGGUGAACUGGAGUGUGUGAGAGGAUAGUGGAAUUCCAGGUGUAGGAGUGAAAUGCGUAGAUAUCUGGCGGAACAUCAGUGGCGAAGGCGACUAUCUGGCACAUAACUGACGCUGAGGAGCGAAAGCGUGGGUAGCAAACAGGAUUAGAUACCCUGGUAGUC